Molecule: ribosomal RNA, 559 nt
Filed under: uncultured bacterium
Lineage: Bacteria
Description: partial 16S ribosomal RNA
Rfam family: Bacterial small subunit ribosomal RNA
Source: RNAcentral
UGGGGAAUAUUGCGCAAUGGGGGGAACCCUGACGCAGCAACGCCGCGUGAAGGAUGAAGGCUUUCGGGUUGUAAACUUCUUUGAUGAGGGGACGAAAGAAAUGACGGUACCUCAAAAACAAGCCACGGCUAACUACGUGCCAGCAGCCGCGGUAAUACGUAGGUGGCGAGCGUUGUCCGGAAUUACUGGGUGUAAAGGGCGUGUAGGCGGGGAUGCAAGUCAGAUGUGAAAUGCCGGGGCUUAACUCCGGAGCUGCAUCUGAAACCGUGUUUCUUGAGUGUCGGAGAGGAAAGCGGAAUUCCCAGUGUAGCGGUGAAAUGCGUAGAUAUUGGGAGGAACACCAGUGGCGAAGGCGGCUUUCUGGACGAUAACUGACGCUGAGGCGCGAAAGCGUGGGGAGCAAACAGGAUUAGAUACCCUGGUAGUCCACGCUGUAAACGAUGGAUACUAGGUGUAGGAGGUAUCGACCCCUUCUGUGCCGGAGUUAACACAAUAAGUAUCCCACCUGGGGGAGUACGGCCGCAAGGUUGAAACUCAAAUGAAUUGACGGGGGUCAUAG